CCUACGGGUGGCAGCAGUGGGGAAUAUUGCACAAUGGGGGAAACCCUGAUGCAGCGACGCCGCGUGAGCGAUGGAGUAUUUCGGUAUGUAAAGCUCUAUCAGCAGGGAAGCAAAUGACGGUACCUGACUAAGAAGCCCCGGCUACCUACGUGCCAGCAGCCGCGGUAAUACGUAGGGGGCAAGCGUUAUCCGGAUUUACUGGGUGUAAAGGGAGCGUAGACGGCGAUGCAAGCCAGAUGUGAAAGCCAGGGGCUCAACCCCGGGACUGCAUUUGAAACUGUAUAGCUGGAGUGUCGGAGAGGCAGGCGGAAUUCCCGGUGUAGCGGUGAAAUGCGUAGAUAUUAGGAGGAACACUAGUGGCGAAGGCGGGCUGCUGGACGAUGACUGACGUUGAGGCACGAAAGCGUGGGGAGCAAACAGGAUUAGAUACCCGUGUAGUC
Molecule: ribosomal RNA, 440 nt
Filed under: uncultured bacterium
Lineage: Bacteria
Description: partial 16S ribosomal RNA
Rfam family: Bacterial small subunit ribosomal RNA
Source: RNAcentral